AUUGAACGCUGGCGGAAUGCUUUACACAUGCAAGUCGAACGGCAGCACGGGGCAACCUGGUGGCGAGUGGCGAACGGGUGAGUAAUAUAUCGGAACGUGCCCAAUCGUGGGGGAUAACGUAGCGAAAGUUACGCUAAUACCGCAUACGAUCUACGGAUGAAAGCGGGGGAUCGCAAGACCUCGCGCGAAUGGAGCGGCCGAUAUCAGAUUAGGUAGUUGGUGGGGUAAAGGCUCACCAAGCCAACGAUCUGUAGCUGGUCUGAGAGGACGACCAGCCACACUGGAACUGAGACACGGUCCAGACUCCUACGGGAGGCAGCAGUGGGGAAUUUUGGACAAUGGGCGCAAGCCUGAUCCAGCCAUUCCGCGUGCAGGAUGAAGGCCUUCGGGUUGUAAACUGCUUUUGUACGGAACGAAACGGUCUGCCCUAAUACGGCAGGCUAAUGACGGUACCGUAAGAAUAAGCACCGGCUAACUACGUGCCAGCAGCCGCGGU
RNAcentral lists this ribosomal RNA (496 nucleotides) under uncultured bacterium. RNAcentral's name for it is "bacterial SSU rRNA". It matches the Rfam family "Bacterial small subunit ribosomal RNA", at positions 30 to 521 of the family's 1533-position model. The record is from RNAcentral.